This 382-nucleotide ribosomal RNA is filed under the name Verrucomicrobiota bacterium. RNAcentral describes it as "bacterial SSU rRNA". It matches the Rfam family "Bacterial small subunit ribosomal RNA", at positions 1163 to 1533 of the family's 1533-position model. The record is from RNAcentral. Lineage: Bacteria; Pseudomonadati; Verrucomicrobiota.
GGGGAGGAAGGUGGGGACGACGUCAAGUCAGUAUGGCCCUUACGGCCUGGGCUGCACACGUACUACAAUGCCCAGCACAGAACGAUCCAAGACCGCGAGGUGGAGGAAAUCACUAAAACUGGGCCCAGUUCAGAUUGAAGUCUGCAACUCGACUUCAUGAAGCCGGAAUCGCUAGUAAUGGCGCAUCAGCUACGGCGCCGUGAAUACGUUCCCGGGCCUUGUACACACCGCCCGUCACAUCAUGGAAGUCGCUUGUAGCCGAAGCCGGCGCGCUAACCGCAAGGAGGCAGCCGCCUACGCUAUGAGCGGUAACUGGGAUGAAGUCGUAACAAGGUAGCCGUAGGGGAACCUGCGGCUGGAUCACCUCCUUUCUAAGGAGAAA